GCCUGGGUGGCUCAGUGGUUGAGCGUCUGCCUUUGGCUCAGGUCAUGAUCCCGGGGUCCUGGGUUUGAUUCCCAUAUCAGGCU
Non-coding RNA from Canis lupus familiaris (dog), 83 nucleotides. The record is from Rfam. NCBI's taxonomy places the organism in Eukaryota, Metazoa, Chordata, Mammalia, Carnivora, Canidae.